This is a long non-coding RNA of Neofelis nebulosa (Clouded leopard), 430 nucleotides long. RefSeq lists it as uncharacterized. The record is from RefSeq and is a predicted model, not a curated record. The transcript is spliced from 2 exons. Lineage: Eukaryota; Metazoa; Chordata; Mammalia; Carnivora; Felidae.
UUUGCCUUAAAGGUGAGCAAUGAACCUUAGACUGAGCCAACAAAUGGCUGGCUACAGGACUGUGACCAUGCAGUCUUAAAACAAGAAUGGACGUAAGAUGAACCAGCAGGCGAAGACUACUCCCACUCCACUCCCUCUCCACUCUCAGCCCUUUCUCCAAAGAGGCAGAGUUGUGAGGGUACAUCCAUGCCUCCUGAAUCUGCAGCCUGGAGGGAGAGGAAACAGCCAAAGAAUAAAAAUCCAGGUGACCUAGGGGUAAACUCUUAGGAAGAGAGAUCCCUGUGUUGGCCAAAGGGAAAGAACUGAACAACUGAACGCCUGUAAUCUUGGGUCUUCUCUGGAUGACAUCACCUUUGGUGGCUUUGCCCCUCACACACUUCUGGGAUUCUUCUUGUGUCUGGAAAAAAAAAAGACCCCAUGGAUAAGAACA